RNAcentral lists this ribosomal RNA (327 nucleotides) under uncultured eukaryote. RNAcentral describes it as "partial 18S ribosomal RNA". It matches the Rfam family "Eukaryotic small subunit ribosomal RNA", at positions 1470 to 1796 of the family's 1831-position model. The record is from RNAcentral.
CCCUUAGAUGUCCUGGGCUGCACGCGCGCUACACUGAUGUGUCCAGUAAGCACCUAACCUCUUCCGAAAGGAACGGGUAACCUUUGCAAAGCACAUCGUGAUGGGGAUAGAUUAUUGCAAUUAUUAAUCUUGAACGAGGAAUUCCUAGUAAACGCAGUUCAUCAAACUGCAUUGAUUACGUCCCUGCCCUUUGUACACACCGCCCGUCGCACCUACCGAUUGAAUGGUCCGGUGAAGCCUCGGGAUUGUGGCUGGUUUCCUUUAUUGGAGGUCGGUUGCGAGAACUUGUCUAAACCUUAUCAUUUAGAGGAAGGUGAAGUCGUAACA